This 253-nucleotide ribosomal RNA is filed under the name uncultured bacterium. Its description in RNAcentral is "partial 16S ribosomal RNA". It matches the Rfam family "Bacterial small subunit ribosomal RNA", at positions 524 to 776 of the family's 1533-position model. The record is from RNAcentral.
GACGAACCGUGCGAACGGUGUUCGGAAUCACUGGGCUUAAAGGGCGCGUAGGUGGGCUGUCAAGUCUGGGGUGAAAUGCCGCGGCUCAACCGUGGAACUGCCUUAGAUACUGACGGCCUCGAGGGGGGUAGGGGCAUGCGGAACUGUGAGUGGAGCGGUGAAAUGCGUUGAUAUUCACAGGAACUCCGGUGGCGAAGGCGGCGUGCUGGACCUCUGCUGACGCUGAGGCGCGAAAGCUAGGGGAGCAAACGGG